CAGUAGCCACGGUAAAACGAAGGGGGCUAGCGUUGCUCGGAAUUACUGGGCGUAAAGGGCGCGUAGGCGGACAGUUCAGUCGGGGGUGAAAGCCCGGGGCUCAACCCCGGAACUACCUUCGAUACUGGCUGUCUUGAGUACGGGAGAGGUGUGUGGAACUCCGAGUGUAGAGGUGAAAUUCGUAGAUAUUCGGAGGAACACCAGUGGCGAAGGCGACUCUCUGGUCUGUAACUGACGCUGAGGAGCGAAAGCGUGGGGAGCGAACAGGAUUUGAUACCCCCGUAGUCCCUGUCUCUUAUAA
This 301-nucleotide ribosomal RNA is filed under the name uncultured bacterium. Its description in RNAcentral is "partial 16S ribosomal RNA". It matches the Rfam family "Bacterial small subunit ribosomal RNA", at positions 509 to 809 of the family's 1533-position model. The record is from RNAcentral.